UACGGAGGAGGCAAGCGUUAUCCGGAAUUAUUGGGCGUAAAGCGUCCGCAGGUGGCACUUCAAGUCUGCUGUCAAAGACCGGGGCUUAACCCCAGAAAGGCAGUGGAAACUGAAGUGCUAGAGUGCAGUAGGGGUAGAGGGAAUUCCCGGGUGUAGCGGUGAAAUGCGUAGAGAUCGGGAAGAACAUCGGUGGCGAAGGCGCUCUGCUGGACCAUAACUGACACUCAGGGGACGAAAAGCUAGGGGAGCGAAUGGG
This 256-nucleotide ribosomal RNA is filed under the name uncultured bacterium. RNAcentral's name for it is "partial 16S ribosomal RNA". It matches the Rfam family "Bacterial small subunit ribosomal RNA", at positions 524 to 776 of the family's 1533-position model. The record is from RNAcentral.